AACGAACGCUGGCGGCAUGCCUAACACAUGCAAGUCGAACGAGACCUUCGGGUCUAGUGGCGCACGGGUGCGUAACGCGUGGGAACCUGCCCUUAGGUUCGGAAUAACUCCCCGAAAGGGGUGCUAAUACCGGAUAAUGUCUUCGGACCAAAGAUUUAUCGCCUUUGGAUGGGCCCGCGUUGGUUUAGCUAGUUGGUAGGGUAAAAGCCUACCAAGGCGACGAUCCAUAGCUGGUCUGAGAGGAUGAUCAGCCACACUGGGACUGAGACACGGCCCAGACUCCUACGGGAGGCAGCAGUGGGGAAUAUUGGACAAUGGGCGAAAGCCUGAUCCAGCAAGGCCGCGUGAGUGAUGAAGGCCUUAGGGUUGUAAAGCUCUUUUACCCGGGAUGAUAAUGACAGUACCGGGAGAAUAAGCUCCGGCUAACUCCGU
RNAcentral lists this ribosomal RNA (432 nucleotides) under uncultured bacterium. RNAcentral describes it as "partial 16S ribosomal RNA". It matches the Rfam family "Bacterial small subunit ribosomal RNA", at positions 29 to 506 of the family's 1533-position model. The record is from RNAcentral.